RNAcentral lists this ribosomal RNA (631 nucleotides) under Paraglomus brasilianum. RNAcentral's name for it is "partial large subunit ribosomal RNA". It matches the Rfam family "Eukaryotic large subunit ribosomal RNA", at positions 89 to 626 of the family's 3401-position model. Lineage: Eukaryota; Fungi; Glomeromycota; Glomeromycetes; Paraglomerales; Paraglomeraceae. The record is from RNAcentral.
GCGAGUGAAGCGGGAACAGCUCAAAUUUUAAAUCUGGCUGCUUUGCAGUCCGAGUUGUAGUUUGAAGGAGUCUGUCGCUCUUCGGGACAAUGGCACAAGUCUUUUGGAACAUUGCAUCAUAGAGGGUGAGAAUCCCGUCUUUGGCCAUCGUACCAGGAGCACACGGCAGGCAUCCGAAGAGUCGAGUUGUUUGGGAUUGCAGCUCCAAAUGGGUGGUAAACUCCAUCUAAGGCUAAAUAUCUGCGAGAGACCGAUAGCGAACAAGUACCGUGAGGGAAAGAUGAAAAGAACUUUGAAAAGAGAGUAAAACAGUACGUGAAAUUGUUGAAAGGGAAACGAUUGAAGUCAGUCGUGCCGGCGGGGAUUCAGCGAAUUCCGUGGAAUGAGCGUACUUCCUCGCAUGGCAGGUCAGCGUCAGUUUCGCGCGUCGUGAAAUGGUUCUGGUAAGGUGGCUCUCUUCGGGGAGUGUUAUAGACCGGAGCAGAUGCGGGGGCGCGAGACUGAGGAUUGCAGCGAACACCCUUCGGCGCGGCAUCGGGUCUCUGUUCUGUCACCUGUGUCCGAUAGCGUGCUAACGGAUGUGGGAGCGGCGGUUCACCGGACUGGAAUGCCAGCGGUUCGCUUAGGACGC